AUUGAACGCUGGCGGCAGGCUUAACACAUGCACGUCGAGCGAGCGGCGGACGGGUGAGUAAUGUCUGGGAAACUGCCUGAUGGAGGGGGAUAACUACUGGAAACGGUCGCUAAUACCGCAUACAAUCAGAUGUGGCCAGAUGGGAUUAGCUAGUAGGUGGGGUAAUGGCUGACCUAGGCGACGAUCCCUAGCUGGUCUGAGGUGAUGAAAAGCCACACUGGAACUGAGACACGGUCCAGACUCGUACGUGAGGCAGCAGUGGGGAAUAUUGCACAAUGGGCGCAAGCCUGAUGCAGCCAUGCCGCGUGUGUGAAGAAGGCCUUCGGGUUGUAAUGUACUUUCAGCGAGGAGGCGUUACUCGCAGAAGAAGCACCGGCUAACUCCGUGCCAGCAGCCGCGGUAAUAC
This 406-nucleotide ribosomal RNA is filed under the name uncultured bacterium. RNAcentral's name for it is "partial 16S ribosomal RNA". It matches the Rfam family "Bacterial small subunit ribosomal RNA", at positions 30 to 526 of the family's 1533-position model. The record is from RNAcentral.